UACGGAGGGUGCAAGCGUUAGUCGGAAUUACUGGGCGUAAAGGGUGCGUAGGUGGAGAUGUAAGUCAGACGUGAAACUCCGAGGCUCAACCUCGGAACUGCAUCUGAUACUGCAUCUCUUGAGGGAUGGUGGAGAAAAUGGAAUUCCACGUGUAGCGGUGAAAUGCGUAGAUAUGUGGAAGAACACCUGUGGCGAAAGCGAUUUUCUAACCUACCCCUGACACUGAGGCACGAAAGCAAGGGGAGCAAACAGG
Molecule: ribosomal RNA, 253 nt
Filed under: uncultured bacterium
Lineage: Bacteria
Description: partial 16S ribosomal RNA
Rfam family: Bacterial small subunit ribosomal RNA
Source: RNAcentral